Molecule: long non-coding RNA, 3904 nt
Organism: Sapajus apella (tufted capuchin)
Lineage: Eukaryota; Metazoa; Chordata; Mammalia; Primates; Cebidae
Exons: 3
Source: RefSeq, a predicted model, not a curated record
UUUGGAUGAAAAAGAAGUGGAUGAUUGCACCACAUCUGAAGUAGUUGGGGGCUUUCAACUUUGGUUAUCUUUGUGUUAAAUGGCAGAAAAUUUCUUAAAAUCAUUUAUACUUAAUAAUUCAAAACAAAAAUUUAUAGACUUUUUAACCUAGAUUUUGCUUCACUUCCUACCUUUUGGGAAAGGUUUCAUUAUAGUUGACCUUAAACCUGCAUUAGUUUCGCACAAGAUUUAUCAGCUUAACAUUUAGCAUUAUGUAGUUAUUGAAACUGAUAAGUCAUUAACAAUAGCAAUUAAAAUAUAUUCUGUAAAUAGUAACUGCUUUUUGUGCAUUUAUAAUGAGCGAACUAUCUCUGCUGUUGGUAAUGGUUAGGUGAUUUAAAGUUUUAGUCUGCAUUUCAGGAGAAUAUAUUUUUCUGCUUGUGCUUUUUGGUAGUGUUUAUGUUGAUGUAUUUAUAAACAAGUGCUUGUUUAGCUAAUGCAUAUUAUAAAAACUGUUACCUUUUUGGCUAUAUGUUUCCAAAUUUUUGGUCAGAAUUAAAACUCUUAAUAACCUGAGCUGCUUCUCAUUAAAUUACAUUAGGUUUUGUGUAUACAUCUUACGUUCUUCAACUGUAAAGGUGGAUUUAAUAGAAUUAUCAACCUCAAAGUAAUAAAGUGAGAAUUAGCUGAAAUAUUUUUUUUCAACUUAGUACCUUGCUUGUCUCAUGAUAAGGACUCCAUAAAUAUCAAGUAUUUUGAUUAUUUUCUUUCCCAAUCCAUAUCAUUCUUCUACCUACAGGUUUUUAAAGCAAAAAUAUAAAAUAAAAGUGCAGUAAAAUUAAAAAAAAAUAUAUUUAAAAACAAGAGAAAUAAACUAAGAACAAAAUUAAAUAGGGUUACAGAUUCUUAUGAAGACAAUUGAUGAAUAUUUAAGUAGGGAACUUAAUUCAUGAAAUGUUGUAUAUACUGACGAUAUUCUACUGAAAGAGGUUUUAAUAUUUAAUGAUCCUAUUAGAUUUAAUAAAACAUGAGCAGGUAUGGAUUUCAAGAAUAUAAUUCUAUCCAUUAACAGGAAGAUUUCAUGUAAAUGAGUGCCCAUAUAAUUAUCCUUAAAGACUAAGUGUAUUUACAAUAUAUUAAAAGUGCCUCUAAAAACCAUGUCUGAAUUUCUUAGUAUUUUAAGUUAUCCAACAAAACAUUAACUAAAAUAAUUUAUAUAUUAUUUUAAUUUGAGUGAUCCAAUAUUUUUUAUAUAAUUUUGCUUUGAAGCACUGUUUUGUUGAAUUCUAAGGAGUCUAUAAUACUGGGAUAUCAGUAGAUUUUAUUAUAUUUCAAUAUUAUUAUAUAAAAUAUUAAUUUCAAAGUAGCUUAAAGAUUUUUUCCUGCAUUAAAAAAUCAAUUUAUAAUUUUAAUUGAUUUAGUCCUAUAGUGUUAUCUGAAAAUUAUAGCUUCCUUUUGACCUUCAGUGAUACAAAAAUUACAGUUGCUUGGAUUAUUUAUUAAGAUUAUUUUUAAAUACUGAAUUAAAAUACAAUGUUAUAAUUUUUUAAUAUGUGUUUAAUGAAAACAAGUAGGAGGUGGUAUCCCUUCAUAGGAAUCAAAGUGAUUGCUAAUUUACAAAUAGGCUAACAUUCCUUAGUUUCCAAUUAGUAUCACUGUUCAAAGGGAAAAAAUCAAAUGUGGAAAUAAUUCCCUCAUUAAUUCACAUAAGCUUACUAAUUCUUAUUCCUAUUUUCCAAGAUGACAAAUCACAGAUAUAAAAAGCACUUGAUUUCAUAUCGAUUCGGUAUUUUGCAAAUGAUUUUUUUUUCUUGUUUUAUUUGAGAAAGAAGGAAAAAUAAUUUAUAGACCUGUAUGAUGGGUUACAAGUCUCUUCAUUAAAUUUCCAUUUCGGUAAAUGCCAAAAUAACCGUAUCACAAUUACAUUUUACUAACUUUUACUCAUUGAAUGAGCCAAAUCAACUGCUCCAAGAUAAUUUCCAGGCUACCAGGUUUGUGUACUUCAUUUCUAAGCUCUUUUGUAGUUAUGCAUCUAUACUCCCUCAUGGCCUGAAAGAAUCUUUCCAAUAUUUCAGAUCUCGGUAAAAAGUUAUAAACCUAGGGAACUCUGAAUUGCACUGGAAAACUCUGGAAUGUGACCCAUACUUUAAACUUCCUAGAUUACAUAAUCUAUACAGUAGUUUUGUCCUGGAAAUGAGCUGGGGGCAAAGUUGUGAAAUACCAAAGUGCAUUUGUAGAUUUGUUAGCUUUCCGAUUGGCAAUUUUAUCUCUGUAAAGCUAUUACAGUCUCUACUACAUCAUAAAGCAACUUGAUAAACAAAAUCAAUAACAAAUCCUAGGGGAAAAAAGAAACAACAAUAGUCUUCUACACACCUAUUGAAUGGCCAAAAUCCAGAACACUGACAACACCAAAUGCCGUUGGAAUGUAAAAUUGCAUAGCCAGUUUCUUGCAAAACACAUUCUUAUGAUAUAAUCCAACAAUCAAGCUCCUUGGUAUUUUCUCAAAGGAGCUGAAAACAAUGUCCACACAAAAACAACAUGCACACAGAUGUUUAUAGCAGCUUUAUUCAUAAUUCUUAAAACUUAGAAGUAACAAAAAUGUCUUUUAGUAGUUGAGUGGAUGAACUGCCAUACAUCCAGACAAUGGCACAUUAUCCCCUACUAAAAAACAAAAGAGCUAUCAAGCCAUGAGGAGAUAUGUGGGGAACUUAAAUAAAUACUAUUAGGUAAAAGAAACCAAUCCGAAAAGGCUACACAGUGUAUGAGUCCAACUAUAAUACUCUAAGAAGGAUGAAACCAUGGAGACAGUAAAAAGUUCAGUGGUUACCAGGUAUUAGGAAAGAGAGAAAGAUGAAUAAGUAGAACACAGAAGAAUUUUAAGGCAGUGAUACUACUUUGUGUGAUACUAUAAUGAUGGCUAUUUGGCAUUAUACAUUUGUCCAAACUCAUAGCAACUCAACUCAUGUCUAACUCAACAGCAGGAGUGAAACCUAAUAUGAAUUAUGGACUAUGGGUGAUAAGGAUGUGUCAACAUUAGGUUCAUCAAGUUGUGGCAAACGCAUCACUCUGGUGGAGGAUGUGGAUAAUGGGGGAGUCUAUGGAUGUGUUGGAGGAGUAAGGGGAAAUAGGAAACCUCUGUACCUUCAGUUCAAUAUUGCUGUAAGUUUUAAACUACUCCAAAAGCAAAGCUUAUUUUUAAAGCCUUGAUUUUACCCGUAUUUGUAGAAUUUACAUUAAAAAAUAAAGCCUUUAGAAAAUGCUGUUUAACAUUCAGAAAGGGGAUCUUUAGUUAAAAUAACUAGUUCCUUUGGUGCCUGGGAUUGAGCUAAUACUUGGGGACUCUCAGUACCUGAAAUCAUAUUAUGAAGGCUGCUUCUAACCAGUAAGAGCGACUUUAUUAUCAGACCUGCAGUUUCAAUGCAACGUCCACUAAUAUCUCAAAAGCGGCAAACAAAACAACAAAACAAAACCUAAAACUUGCUGUGUCAUGAUAACAGGGAGAAUAUGAGGAUUUGUGCAAGAGAUGGAGGUAGAGAAGUGCAGCCUUUUCCUGUAGUAGAUUUCAUGUCCUUGAAAUUUAAGUUGAUUUCCAUGUUUGAUUGGAUGUUGAAGAUUGUCAACCCAGGAUGUAUGGUUUAAUAAUCUCAGUGACUCCAGUAAUUUUAAUUUGCUUACUACUCAUUUACAAGUGACAGAUACCUAAAAUAAACUAGCUUAAGAAAAAAAAAUAUGUGAUGGAUCAUAGAACUAAGGAUUCCUUUCAUUAUCCAGACUGAUUUAAUAUUUUACCACUAUUCUGGGGGGUGGGCCUGUUUAUCAGGCCCAAGAGGGGACCCAGAGAGUUGAGGAUGCAAUUCCUAAAACGAAAAGGAGUUUGUUAGCAAAAGGAGGAUAGGAGUGUGCACAGCCUCUACAGAAACAGACA